AUUUUUCAUAUAUGUCCAGAUUGAGGUGAUGUUCUGACAGGAGAUCAGAACAAGAAAUAGCUGCAUGAUGAGAGUCCUAUGUGUUUCUUUCAGUGUGACCCAGCCCUCUUGCCAGAGCCAAACCACGUAAUGCUAAACCACCUCUAUGCACUCUCCAUUAAGGAUGGUGUCAUGGUACUCAGUGCCACACAUCGCUACAAGAAGAAGUAUGUUACCACUCUUCUUUACAAGCCUAUUUGAUCCCUGCAUCUCUCUGUAGGGGCACAAAGACUUGCUUUCUCCGCAUAUCCCAGAAUACCAGUGGGCAUGAGGGUGGGUAGUUGAUUUCCAGAUUCUUUUAUCAGAGGCAAAGGUUUGGAUGACCCAGCCCCUGUCCUGAUUUUUCUGGACAAUGAAAUCUUCUUUCCCAAACAGCUAUUUGGGACAUACAACUUGCAUCUCAUAGUGGCACAAAGCUAGUAAAAUCAAGUUUUGGGUGGGUUAUUGUUAUCUGUUAUAUAUUGCAAACUGUACACGUGGGGUUGGCUUCUUCCUGGGGAACAUUAAGAAAUAAGGAGUCUUGCCUUGCAAUCUUCCCCCUCCACAUUCAAAAGGAAAGAAAGUUCUUUGCCACCUUCUUUUCAAAUCAUAUGGCCAUUGUGUAUACGUCAGGGUGGCUGUAUGGAGCCUCCAGAUUUAGAGACUGCAUAUCUUUAAACGUUAACUACUGUGGAUAGCCCAUCCUCAAGUACUGAAAACCUCUUCUAGUAGGAAGUGAGGUGCUAGAUUAGGCACAUUUCUGCCCUAGCAUAGUAGGACUGCUCUUACGUUCUCAAUAUCUACUGCUGCAAAGGCCUUCACAUGUUUGCCCAGUUUUGUGGGUGUGAUAAGGCCCAGUCCUGGAUUGCCUGUAUAGCUGGACCACUAUGUAGCUUGUAGCUUCUGCACCAUUCAGAAGCAGUUUCUCCACUGUUGGGUACACCAAUGAAAGGCACUACAGUUGUGCUAGCUCCUGGGUUAAAUAGGUUUAUUCCAUCUGCUGACUAAUUGAGCCAAAAGACUCGAUUGUGCAGAAGAAGUGAUAUGGCUAGUUAUUGAAGAUAUUGGUUUUGGGCACAUGGAACAAGCACGCUAAGGGUGUUUCCACAUGGUUGCCAUUUUAUGGGAGAGAGGAGUUUUGGACUUCCCAGUGCUCAGAAGCAGCACAAAAACCUUCAUUUUCAAUGCUGCUGACCCGCAACACUGAGUCAAGAAGCAAUGGUCAGAGCUGUCUUAGGUUCUGGAGAAAGAAAAAGCCCCUCACCCCUCCACUCCACACAAUAAACAA
Python bivittatus (Burmese python) is the source of this 1306-nucleotide non-coding RNA. The record is from RefSeq and is a predicted model, not a curated record. Lineage: Eukaryota; Metazoa; Chordata; Lepidosauria; Squamata; Pythonidae.